This 253-nucleotide ribosomal RNA is filed under the name uncultured bacterium. RNAcentral's name for it is "partial 16S ribosomal RNA". It matches the Rfam family "Bacterial small subunit ribosomal RNA", at positions 524 to 776 of the family's 1533-position model. The record is from RNAcentral.
UACAGAGGUCCCAAGCGUUGUUCGGAUUCACUGGGCGUAAAGGGUGCGUAGGUGGUAAGGCAAGUCAGGUGUGAAAUCUCCGGGCUCAACCCGGAAAUGGCAUUCGAAACUACCUUGCUAGAGGGUUUGAGGGGGGACUGGAAUACUUGGUGUAGCAGUGAAAUGCGUAGAUAUCAAGUGGAACACCAGUGGCGAAGGCGAGUCCCUGGAAAACUCCUGACACUGAGGCACGAAAGCUAGGGGAGCAAACGGG